UAUCAUCUGACUUUUCCUCAACUAUAACCUGGUAAAAAAACAAAAGAUAUAUACUAAGCAUGUCACUGUCCCUAAGUUCUGAGCACUACUGCCAGCUAAUCAACUACUACAAUAAUCUUUACUCCAUCCUUGAACCAACUACCAAAAUCAUCCAAGGGGAAUUGCGAGCAAGAACAUGGAGAUGAAAGCCCGCCAGAUGGUGGACAAGGAAUAUCUGCAAAUAUGAGAUGCAACUGAAACAACCUCUUCUAAG
This 253-nucleotide long non-coding RNA is filed under the name Nicotiana benthamiana. RNAcentral describes it as "long non-coding RNA (NBEN_LNC001402)". The record is from RNAcentral. Lineage: Eukaryota; Viridiplantae; Streptophyta; Magnoliopsida; Solanales; Solanaceae.